GUCGCGGGGCGGGAGGAGACGAAUACUUAGCUAGGGAUUCGCCGCAGAGGAGCGGAAGUUGGCCGCCGGCGUGCUUGAAUUGUGUAGAGGGAGAGGAGGAGCGUUUGCCGCCUUGGCCUCUGUCAGCAGCAGACCCAGGUCCCACUGCAGAAGGCAGGCACUUGGACCCCUUCCCUGACCUCACCUUCUUCUGUAAGGCGCAGUGAAAGACAAAGAUGAAGACCCCCUGGAAGGCGUUGAAAGUGGUAAAGAGAUAGGCCAUGACUACUGACUCCUUAUUGAUGAAGAGCAGGCCGAACGCCCAGGUGGCACGCUCACUUCCUCAUGCUCUGGGAGGCUUGUGGAGAGAUGACAAAGGUGACACCAACUUGCUUCUCCAGAGUGCCUUGGGAGAAGGUGGGACCAUGACCAGAAAGAACCAGACAUGUGGCCUCCUGCCCCAGGCAAGACUGGUGCCACCCCCCAAUGCCCACGAAGCUGGUCUUCCCUGGCACUGCCCAUGCAGCGCUCUCUAGGAUGCCAUGCAAAGCCAGGCCAGCAAGUGGGCCUGCCCAGAGGAGUAGAGCGCCGGCCAGCUUACGAUCUCG
Molecule: long non-coding RNA, 587 nt
Organism: Lutra lutra (Eurasian river otter)
Lineage: Eukaryota; Metazoa; Chordata; Mammalia; Carnivora; Mustelidae
Exons: 3
Source: RefSeq, a predicted model, not a curated record